Molecule: small RNA, 259 nt
Filed under: Castor canadensis (American beaver)
Lineage: Eukaryota; Metazoa; Chordata; Mammalia; Rodentia; Castoridae
Description: 7SK RNA (ENSCCNG00000012543.1)
Rfam family: 7SK RNA
About the family: 7SK was discovered as an abundant small nuclear RNA in the mid-70s but a possible function has only recently been suggested. Two independent studies have found that 7SK RNA binds the CDK9/cyclin T complex (known as elongation factor P-TEFb). P-TEFb activates transcription by phosphorylating the C-terminal domain of RNA polymerase II.
Source: RNAcentral
GGAUGUGAGGGUGAUCUGGCUGUGACAUCUGUCACCCCAUUGAUUGCCAGGGUUGAUUUGGCUGAUCUGGCUGGCUAGGUGGGUGUCCCCUUCCUCCCUCACCACUCCAUGUGUGUCCCUCCCGAAGCUGCGCGCUUGGUCGAAGAGGACGACCAUCCCCAAUAGAGGAGGACCAUUCUUCGGUCAAGGGUAUAUGAGUACCUGUGCUCCCCUGCUAGAACCUCCAAACAAGCUCUCAGGCGGUGGCUUAUCACUGCCU